Molecule: long non-coding RNA, 3129 nt
Filed under: Musa acuminata (dwarf banana)
Lineage: Eukaryota; Viridiplantae; Streptophyta; Magnoliopsida; Zingiberales; Musaceae
Description: long non-coding RNA (MACU_LNC004728)
Source: RNAcentral
GUUGCAUAUGGCAGGUAUGGCUGGACCUUCAUUAGAGGAUGUUUCCAUUCCGAUUUCUCACUCCCUUGUUAGAUUGGAGCUGUAGGAAUGUGCAUCUGGGAUCGUAUUUGAUUCUUAUGAUUAGGUGGCAUUAGGCCGCCAUUCUACUUUUUGUAAGGAGGCUUAGCCCUAUGCUAGGGACACAAGAAACAUUAGUUGUACUCACUUUUUUGAAGUAAUAUACUUUCAUCUUUCUUAAAAAGAAAAAAAAAAAAACUAGUGUCACUAGAAUUUAGUAGAGAUUAACAAUAUAGCCUAACAACCGAAAGUCUUACUGAAGCAACUGAACGUACCACAAAAAGCCUAGAUUUGGAAGCUAAUAAAUUAUACCAGUGUGUCCUAUCAACUAAUGAUUUCCAAGAUACCAAAAUCUCAAAAGAAAUUCAGGAGAUUAGCAUGGCUCGAAGAUCGUCAUAUGAAUUUACUUGCUGUAAACAUACUAGGAGGGUAUAAGCUCUAAAAAUUUCCAUGGAUUCAUAUCAUAUUUCAUUGUUAUUCUUAUAUAAGAGGCAAGACCAGAUGUCCAAAAAAAAUCAGGUCCUUCCAAAAGUUUUCCUACAAUCUCCUUUGCAAUCCUCACUAGUCCAUGCAAGAUCGGAUGAUGGACUUAAAACAAUAUAAUCGAUCUAUGCAGUUCACUAGCAGUCUAGCAUUACCACUAUGCAGUUCAUUAGUAUUACCAUGAAGACAAAUACAGACUAUCGAAUCAUGUUGGAGAAUAUCAUGCAUUGCUGAACUUCAGCACCAACUGCUUAUAGUGACUUUCAAAUGCUUAUAAUGACCUUAUAAUGAUACACUCUACAGAUUCGGUUAAUGGUUAAUGGGAUCAACAGACUUUUCCAUGUAUAAUAACCUUCCCUCAACAAAACUGCGAUCCAGUGUGACAAUGCUAGCCUAAAAUUGUCAGGCACCAGGGAUCAGCAUGCCAAAGUCGAUGAAAAAUGAAAAGGCUAUAAAAGAUAACCAGUAACCACUGUCUCGGAAGAAAAGGAAUAAUACAAACAUGUGAAGAUGUUAAAAUUCUUUAAGUAAUUUGUCUCCAUAAAGGGUCUUUUGAGUUUUGCUUGGAGGUUUUCAAGGCAUUGAAUAUAAAUAGAAAUGCUUUCAAAACCGAAGAAAUAUUCUCAACUUCCAGGGCAUUGGCUAAUGUGCAGGAACUAAAGAGCAACACACUAGCACUUCCAUCCUAUACUGGAGUUUAUGAACAAGCAGCCAUCCUUAGACAUCCAUGGAAUGUCAGCAUAAGCAACAGGAUGUCAUUACCAAGAUUCUGCAGGGUUACAGUAUAUCUCCUCUACUCUUAUCUUGAUCGCACAACAGAAAUCUUAGCCAUCUUUCUAGGACUUCAAAUUUUCAAUCCGCCUAUGCAAUCUCCUAAAAUAUUCUUUAGGGUCACGUGAAGUCCUCUUUUGAAUGUCCAUUAGGUCUCCCUUACCCAUAAUGCUAAUGAAGUACCCCACAUUGCUAUUAAAAUGACGAGUGACAAUGCUCCAAAUUAACAAGCGAGUAAGACUAUAAUCUAAGGAUAUAAACUGAUAAGACUGUAAUCGAUUAACAUACGUGCACAGAGAGUAACGAAAUGCUUCAUGUCAAAGUUACAUCACCAAAAUAGAACUCAAACAAAGUUUCUUGGUUGAUAUAAGAUUAAAAAAAAAAGGGUGAGGUGGGAGAUCUCAAAAAGAUGCUUAUUUUCAGAUGAACUCUCUCCGUGCGAUUGAGGGAAUCAAGGGAACAAACUGAGGAAUGGGAAUCCAGUUUCCAAAUCCAUGUAUGGAACGAUUAGAAUUGAUAUCUCAUGUCAUUCGGAGUCUCUAGCUCCAGUUCUUCAGCAUCAGCAAUCAUAACAUGCUUGACAUUAGGAACGUACCAAAUUGGAAAAGCCAAAGUGUGAUGCUACUGAUCAUGAAGAGUUUAGAAAGGAAUAGAGUUAGUCGCAUAGAAUUCACAGACCAAUCAGAAAAGCAAAUAAUAAGUCUUGUCAAAGUGAGUUGUCAGCACAACCGGUCAGGACUAUGCAUUAAUUGACAACUUUUUUUUAUGGUCAUUUGAACAUUUUGUCCAUAUCCUUGGAUUUAUUAAGAUGGAACUGUUCCUAUGUCCUUUGAUUCCCGGAAAAGCUUGCUCCAACAGCGAGAAGAAAACGACAUGCAAACAUAUACAUAAAAUUCCACAGUAAGUACAUAAAAGAUGUUUCAAUCCAAAAAUUGAGAUAGUUACUCCAGCCUAAAAAAGGAACCACUGUAACUUCUAUUUCCCUGUAAGUGAUAAUGAAGUCCAACAAGCCAACUUAUUUCGUUUGUACUGAGAUUCAUACACCUUUCUUGUCGACAAUGGCCUGUGACAUCUUUUGUCAACAUGCUUCCUUGUCACCUUCUCACAACUUCCAGCCAAAAUCAUCACAGGCUAAAUUUACUCCGCCAUAUUUACAGACGCGUUUUAGUGUUCUUCCGACGGUUGUCUUCAUCAUUUUGUUCGAAAUUUCAGGAUUCCUAUUUCGUGUGCUUAAUUUUGUACUUAUUCCAAGCAUCAUCUUUCAAAAUUUGCUAAUCAUCACCGCAUUAUUCUCAUCUUUGAAGCUUCCAGAGAGAGAACAUUCGAGUAAAAACAUGCAGCAAGCUUUUAUUUCGUGGUUUAUUUCCAUCGAACUAGCACUAUUCUGCAAUCAGCACAAUCUCUAUUCCAAUCUCGCGGUCCUUGGAACACCGACAUUGGCGGUGUACAAACUCAACGGCCAAAAGAGGAACCCUUUUGUUCGCUCCCUCCUCAAAAAUUAAUGAACCAAAAAGAAUUAACAACUAUAGCUUUCUUGCACUAGAAUCAGCGAAGAAACAAGCAAAGCAUGAUAAAAUCGAAUCUUUCGCCGAUAACAAUAAAGACGAGAAUACAAAAGGAAACCCAAGGCUGGAAUCGCGCACCAAAGCGAAGACGCCGCUCUCUCCUUCGGAAUCGGAACACUAAACGAAGCAAUCGAGGGCGAACUCGUGGCUCGUCCUGCUCAAGUGUGAUCGCGUCGUUGGCGGCCGUCGAGGGAUCGAACCCCGACCCCGGACCCCCGGCCAUCAGGGGGGCACAGCUAGGGCUGGCUAAAAC